AACAGUCUUGUUCACUGCACGUUUCUAGAAAUUACGAUCCCCAAAGCUCACAGCCUGGGAUCACAGGCGCCCACCCGCUUGUACGUCCUCGGAAUUCGAGAGCACGGAGCCGAAGCAGUGUGGAAAGGAAAGCGCCUACAACUCCCAGAGUGCCGCGCGGGAGCGUCCCGCCGUCCGCCCCGCCGCCGAGGGCGCCGCGCUCAGCGCGUUCCGGCCCCGCCCGCCCGGCUGCCCCUCGGCCUCGCCCUCUGCGGGGCGGCCCGACCUGCCCUUCACGGCCGCUGUGCUCGCUGAGGUCGCCGGGGGCUGGAGGCGCCGCCCGGCCCCGCUCGGAGGGGGUCGCUACUCGCCUCCACUCCCCCAGCUCCCCAGGGACUCAGCCGCGGUGCCGCUGCCGCGGGGGCCCCGGCGGGCGAGCUGUUGGAGGGAGGAGGCGGACAGCAAGGAAGAGGAGGAACAACAUGCGACUCUUCCUCCGAGAGAAAUAGGCUCUGCCCUAGAGAAAAGACCGUUUUAGGUGGGGCCACUAGGCCCCUCCAGUCCCCGCACUCGUCCCGCCUCUGUCCUGGCCGCGGUGAAGGGAACACUCUCAUCCUUCGAUGUCUCUGGAGGCGUGUGCGGGGCAAAGCCCUGCCCGGACGCUGCUGCCGAGUCAGGGAGGGUGGACCACACGGGGCCCAGUGGUCCCAGAUGCUGCUCCCUCAGACCUGGGGCCUAUUCGGGGGCGAUCCUUUGCAGUUUUGAAACUUCUGGUCCCUCUCCUGCUUUCCGCAGACAUUGUUACUAGACGUCAUAGUUGACGUUGAGUGCUGGAGCAGCUCUCAUAUGCCGAAACCUCCAGAUUCAGAGACGGGAAGAAGCUGGGCGCCCGCUGUCAGCACCCAAGUCUAGUGGAACUGGGCAAGCCAGGGCAGGAGGGGCUCUCAUCGCUGAGGAGUCCUUAGGAUUUCCCUCCAGCUCACAUCCUACUAGAGCUCAAACGAUCACUGAGCGCAAACAAUCACUGAGCGCACACUCAGUGCCAGGCGCUGAGGGGACACAUGCUGCCCUGGUCUCAUGAGCUCUCCAGUCCAGCAAGAAGACAACUGAGUGAGUAAAUAUCUUCAGAGAAUGCUAAGUACGAAGAAGAACGUAAGCAGGGUGAUGCAGCAGAGCGCGUGGAGAUUACGGGUCGCCAGAGAAGGGCUCUUUCAAGAGGCGACGUGGCGUAGGACCUGAGUGAAGAGAAAGAGCGUGCGUGUGGAGAGCAGGGGACAGAAUGUUCCGCACAGAAGGAGUAGGUGUGAACACUCUGGAGUACAGUGAGCUUGAUGUGUGUUCCAGCGACGGGACCAGGGUGGCUGGAGCACAGUGAGGAAGACAGGGACGGAGUUCCCUUUGGUUAAGUCACUUCUCUCUGAAUUCCAAUUUUCUUAAUUGUAAAAUGGGGAUAAUUUUACCUAUAUUAAUCAGUGUCUAAUUAGGAAAGAAAAAGCCACCCUAGUUAUUUCAAACAGAGGGAAUCUAAUACAAGGCGUUGUUUGCAGAGGUGUUGGGAGGGCAGGAGAAGCCAGGGGGCAAUAAGGACACCCACAGACCAGUCCCUGGUGGGGACUGGCCCCUCAGGCCGGAGGAGCAAAAGGAGAAGUAGUGCUUCCCAGAAACCGUGCUUCCUGCUGCCUGAGCAGGAGCCAGAGCUGCACUUGCUGGGGGCGCUGCUGACAUGCAGCUGCUGCCACUACUGUGGCCUGAGGUGCCCACAGAAGCCCAGCCUGGGCUGGCUUUCCCGCCCUCCCAUCUUCCGAACCACUGCCAGUGCCUCCCACCGUAGUCAGCCCUGGAGGUCUGGGAACCGUAGUUCACGAGCUGCCAGCCCUGGCUGCAGAGAAGAGUCUAGAAAGAUAAGUGGGAUGAAGGCAGCAGACACCAUUCCCACACCAGCCACCCUGCAGGACCGUUCUGAGGAGCAGAAAUGCAUGUGUACUCGACAAGUCAUGCCUGUUCUUCUGCUUCAUAGCAACAGUAGGCGUUUGGGAAAGGCACAUCCUCCGAAAACAUCUUUGGUAUAAUAUUUCUAUAGAAAGGUUUGAACUUAUGAUUAAAAGCAUCAAAAAUGAGCAUUUUAAAAAUGGAAUUUUAAUUCUGAAUGGGUAAUAUAUUCACAUGGUAUAAAACUCAAAUUACAAAACAAUAUGCAGUGAAGAUAAGGUUCCCUUGUCCUGUCUUCGUGUUCCCUGGUCCUCAGCCCUGGGCCACAUGGUGCUGCGCUCUGCAUCCUCUGCAGCUGAUCACACACAGGGUCGCUGCCAGCACACGUCUGGUCCGUCCACACGGUCCGGGACACUCCGUGUUCAGAGGCCCUGGCUGUGUCAGCCAGUCCCGCAGUGGCUUCUCCUGUCUCAGAGACCUGCAGGAAUGCGCCGGCACUUGCUGCGGGCCUGUCCCGAGGAGAGCCGCUGCGUCAGAGGGCAGGGCACGUGUGCUUCUCAUGAAUCCUGUCGAGCUGCCCCCACUCCCACCACCACACAGGACAGUGCCUCUUGCCCUGCAGCUUUGCCAGCAAGACGUUCAUGACCUCCCAGCCAAAGCCCCCAACGUUGAGGGGCAGAGACAGGCCUCCUGCUGCAGCCCAUCUGGCUUCCCGGCCUGCAGACACCAUGGCAGGAUAGAAUGAGUUAUGCCACUGUAUUUCGAGGUGGCUCAUUACACAGCAAUAAAAUGUGGAAACAACCCUUCCUAGAA
This is a non-coding RNA of Equus caballus (horse), 2721 nucleotides long. The record is from RefSeq and is a predicted model, not a curated record. NCBI's taxonomy places the organism in Eukaryota, Metazoa, Chordata, Mammalia, Perissodactyla, Equidae.